Molecule: ribosomal RNA, 500 nt
Filed under: uncultured bacterium
Lineage: Bacteria
Description: partial 16S ribosomal RNA
Rfam family: Bacterial small subunit ribosomal RNA
Source: RNAcentral
AUUGAACGCUGGCGGCAUGCCUUACACAUGCAAGUCGAACGGCAGCACGGGAGCAAUCCUGGUGGCGAGUGGCGAACGGGUGAGUAAUAUAUCGGAACGUGCCCAGUCGUGGGGGAUAACGCAGCGAAAGCUGUGCUAAUACCGCAUACGAUCUAUGGAUGAAAGCGGGGGAUCGCAAGACCUCGCGCGAUUGGAGCGGCCGAUAUCAGAUUAGCUAGUUGGUGGGGUAAAGGCUCACCAAGCCGACGAUCUGUAACUGGUCUGAGAGGACGAGCAGUCACACGGGGACUGAGACACGGCCCAGACUCCUACGGGAGGCAGCAGUGGGGAAUUUUGGACAAUGGGGGAAACCCUGAUCCAGCCAUGCCGCGUGUGCGAAGAAGGCCUUCGGGUUGUAAAGCACCUUUGGCAGGAAGGAAACGGCGCUGUUUAAUAAACGGCGCUAAUGACGGUACCUGCAGAAUAAGCACCGGCUAACUACGUGCCAGCCGCCGCAGUAA